UUCCCCAGGCAGCAUGUGAGGCUGGGGUGGCACUCGACACAGGACGGCAGGCAAGGGCAUGCCGCCCUCCAGGCUGAGGGUCUCGGGGGCCUCCCCUCCCAGCCCCUGCUGUGGCCUCCCCCUGGGGCCUGGCAUGGGAGGAGUUAAGCUGCCGCGGGCACCUUGGCACAUUGCGCUGCCCAGAGUGUCCGGCUCCCCACCCCCACUGCUUUUCUUCCUUUUUGCCUUUUUCCUUCUUAAUUAAUCAUACGCUGCUGCCCAAUUUAAAUAUGGAAAUGCCCAGGCCGAGGCGAUGCAAUUAUUCAUGAGGGCCGGGCGGCUGUCCGGGGCUCGCGGGCUAUGGGGAGUACCGUGGCAUCGCCUCCGUUCUGAUGUGUGUGAAAUUAUGUGCACAAAAGGCGCCUCCUUAUCUGGGUGUGUGAACUAAAUAAAUAAAUAAGGGCUUUUGUUUGUUUGCCGGCUCCUGCA
RNAcentral lists this non-coding RNA (468 nucleotides) under Pongo abelii (Sumatran orangutan). The record is from RNAcentral. Lineage: Eukaryota; Metazoa; Chordata; Mammalia; Primates; Hominidae.